UACGAAGGGGGCUAGCGUUGCUCGGAAUGACUGGGCGUAAAGGGCGCGUAGGCGGCCACCGCAAGUCGGUUGUGAAAUCUCUGGGCUUAACCCAGAAAGGUCAACCGAUACUGCGGGGCUAGAGUGCAGAAGGGGCAACUGGAAUUCUCGGUGUAGCGGUGAAAUGCGUAGAUAUCGAGAGGAACACCUGCGGCGAAGGCGGGUUGCUGGGCUGACACUGACGCUGAAGCGCGAAAGCUAGGGGAGCGAACGGG
Molecule: ribosomal RNA, 254 nt
Filed under: uncultured bacterium
Lineage: Bacteria
Description: partial 16S ribosomal RNA
Rfam family: Bacterial small subunit ribosomal RNA
Source: RNAcentral